This 253-nucleotide ribosomal RNA is filed under the name uncultured bacterium. RNAcentral's name for it is "partial 16S ribosomal RNA". It matches the Rfam family "Bacterial small subunit ribosomal RNA", at positions 524 to 776 of the family's 1533-position model. The record is from RNAcentral.
UACGUAGGGUGCGAGCGUUAACCGGAAUUACUGGGCGUAAAGCGUGCGCAGGCGGUGAUGUAAGACAGGUGUGAAAUCCCCGGGCUUAACCUGGGAACUGCAUUUGUGACUGCAUCGCUGGAGUGCGGCAGAGGGGGAUGGAAUUCCGCGUGUAGCAGUGAAAUGCGUAGAUAUGCGGAGGAACACCGAUGGCGAAGGCAAUCCCCUGGGCCUGCACUGACGCUCAUGCACGAAAGCGUGGGGAGCAAACAGG